Long non-coding RNA from Poecilia latipinna (sailfin molly), 1071 nucleotides. RefSeq lists it as uncharacterized. The transcript has 2 exons. Lineage: Eukaryota; Metazoa; Chordata; Actinopteri; Cyprinodontiformes; Poeciliidae. The record is from RefSeq and is a predicted model, not a curated record.
GUGAGACACAUUCUCGCGUAGACAUAUUUAGAGCAAGUUUCACUGCCUUUAUUUUACCACUUAGACCGCAGCCCGCCUCAAGAUUUAUUUGCCUCCCCGACAAUAACUCAAACAUUUCAAGUUUGGCUAAUUGUGUCUUUCCCAUCAGGCGUGUGACUCACAGCCCGUUUUUGUAUUUUAACAGUCUCCCAGCCAAUUAGAAGCCCAACUUUUUUUUUUUUUGUUGCUGUUGAUGGGAGAGGGGCAGAGCGGUGACCUCAUGCGUGCUACGCGCUUUCAUCGACUCGCUCGCACAGUCAGUCUGCCUUAUAAUCCAAAUUGCUUUACUCACGUUGGGCUGACAAUAAAAACGGAGUGGAAAAUCAUUCAGGGUGUGAGACUGUACGUGGGUGUGGGAUCUUUCCGCUGGCUGAUCUCAAGCAUCACUCUAAAGUUUCUUUGUGCAGACCAAGAUUGUGUGUCUGCUUUGCUUUCAAAUAAAAUGAUACUGUUGACAUUUAGCUGACACCAUUUAGCUCCUACUUGUUUCAUUUGUUUUUAUUAAAUUAGACUAGACUCUUCUGGUAGAUAUUGUUGGUGAAAUUUUAAGCUGCCUUUUCUUUUUAAAUUCUGAACUUUACAUACUCAAUUUCUAUGUGUUUAGUAGAAUCAGGGACAACAUGUUGGGGUGAGGUUUUAAAAAAAACGCCUGGACUUGCACACCAGUGUUUUUGCUUAUUGGCCUAUCGGAUUAUAUCUACCCUAUAAGCACUAUGACUUUCAAAAUAUGUAUAGAACUACAGCUUUGAGAUUUAAAGGCUAUUUCUUGCCACAAUAUGCGUUUGGUCAUAUUUGUAAUGCCUAAUUAUAAAACUGUGCUAAAUGUUUAACUAAAUUUAUUCUUAACAUCACAUUGUUAAAAGCCAGCUCUUCGCCUGUGAGUCUCCUGUCUCUCUAUCAGCAUAUCUAGCAUGUGAACACUGGUACUAUUUAGGUGCAACAAUUAUAAAUAAAUGAAUUAUUGAAAUUAAUUAAUAUACUUUACUAAUCCCAAGGGGAAAAGCAUAUUGAUGGUACAGCUGUAGUCUGAAG